This is a non-coding RNA of Talpa occidentalis (Iberian mole), 366 nucleotides long. Lineage: Eukaryota; Metazoa; Chordata; Mammalia; Eulipotyphla; Talpidae. The record is from the annotation of a RefSeq genome assembly.
AUGGCCUGGGUGUCCUACCGCGUAACCCUCGUGGUAUACUCAGGUCUCUGUGCUGGGCCUGUGCUGACCCAAACCCCUUCUGCAUCUGCCUCCCUGGGAGCCUCGGCCAAGCUCACCUGCACCCUGAGCAGGGAGCACAGUUCCUACAUCAUUCAAUGGCUUCAACAGCUGCCAGGGAGGGCCCCGUGGUAUGUGAUGUAUGUGAAGAGUGAUGGAAGCCACAGCAAUGGGCAGGGGAUCCCUGAUCGCUUCCCGGUCUCCAGCUCAGGGGCUGACCGCUACUUGACCAUCUCCAACAUCCAGCCUGAGGACGAGGCUGCGCAUUACUGUGGCGCAGGCUAUACUACUGGUGGGCAAUACGGUUAA